Molecule: unclassified non-coding RNA, 1549 nt
Filed under: Sipha flava (yellow sugarcane aphid)
Lineage: Eukaryota; Metazoa; Arthropoda; Insecta; Hemiptera; Aphididae
Description: uncharacterized LOC112690438, transcript variant X3
Source: RNAcentral
UAUUAAAAUUUUAAUGUUCUUUUGAGUACAAAAAAUUCGAAUAAUGUAUUUUUAAGUGAAGUGAAAUAGAGCGAAGUAUUAGAAGAAGUCAAAUGGUUAAAAAAUGGAGCAAAAUUUAAACCAAAUGAUUAUAAACUAUUGAAGCGUUAUGAUAUAAUGAAUGUAAGUAAUAUUGAAAAAUAAAUUGUACCGGUAAAUGAUCCAAAUACUAUUAAAUAUUAUGUUUAUAAUGAAGAGUUGUUUAAAAUAAUUCACGACGUGCAUUUGCAAACUGGACAUGGAGGUAUAAACCGAAUGGAACAUGAACUGAACGCAAAAUAUAAAAACAUUACUAGGGAAUGUUUAAUGAUAUAUUUAAAUUUAUGUGAACCAUGUCAGAGAAAAGGUAAAACUGAAAAAAGAGCUAGUUGUUAAACCAAUAAUUUCUUCAGAAAUGAAUUCUCGUUGUCAAGUAGAUUUGAUUGAUAUGCAAGCUCAACCUGAUGAAAAUAAUCGAUUUAUUUUAGUUUAUCAAGAUCACCUAACGAAGUAUGUUUUACUUAAACCAUUAACACACAAACGUGCAGAAGAAGUUGCCUAUAUAUUACUUGAUAUUUUUACUAUAUUUGGAGCUCCGUGCAUCUUACAGAGUGAUAAUGGUAGAGAAUUUGUUAACAAGGUUAUUGAAGAGUUAUGCAGUACGUGGGAAGAACUGAAAAUCGUACAUGGCAAGCCACGGCAUUCACAAAGUCAAGGCUCUGUUGAAAGGGCUAACCAGGACGUAGAAAAUAUGCUUGCCACCUGAUUAACAGAUAAUAAAACUAAUAAAUGGAGCAAGGGACUUAAAUUCAUUCAAUUUAUGAAAAACAGAAGUUUACACUACGGAAUUAAGUGUUCUCCUUAUGAGGCUAUGUUAGGUACCCGGGUUAAAAUAGGCUUGAAAUCUACUUCUCUACCAGAAAGUAUUAUACAUAAGCUGAAGACUGAUGAAGAUUUAGAAACCGCAUUGAACUCUAUUAAUAUUGAAAAAUCUGUUGAUACAUCUUCUGAAGAAAAUAUUGAUGUUAACGAAGAACAAGCUGAUAUUAUACAUUCAAAACAGGAAACAAUAAUUAAAAAAAGAAGAGAUUCGUUGCAUAAUUUAAAAGUUCAAGCUUCAAAAAUGAAGACUCCGAACAUCGACUUCGUGAAGGCAAAAUUGGCGAAAGUGUUAAAAUUAGAAUACCUGAUGUUGAUAAAGCACGGAGUGAUCUGCGAUCCAUUUCAGGAGUUAUUAUGUCUGUAAAAAACAAUAGUUAUGAAAUUGGUACCACUGAAGUAAAACUUCAACAACUUUACGCUAGAAACCAAUUUGAAAUAUGCAAAAAGUCGUUUGUCCAGAUUGAAGCAGUACCAGUAACAUCUCCGAUAAUACUAAGAAGAGCAGCUAGAAAAUUUUCAAAUCUUGGCGGUCAAGGAUAUGACCGGUGUAACUGUAAAUAGCAAUGCAAGACAAAUAAAUAUGCAUAGUUCAUACUGACAAGACGUGACAGUCACGGACUAAGAUAUUCUUAUCGACCGAUAAUUUCCC